RNAcentral lists this ribosomal RNA (433 nucleotides) under uncultured bacterium. RNAcentral describes it as "partial 16S ribosomal RNA". It matches the Rfam family "Bacterial small subunit ribosomal RNA", at positions 29 to 507 of the family's 1533-position model. The record is from RNAcentral.
AACGAACGCUGGCGGCAUGCCUAACACAUGCAAGUCGAACGAGACCUUCGGGUCUAGUUGCGCACGGGUGCGUAACGCGUGGGAACCUGCCCUUAGGUUCGGAAUAACUCCCCGAAGGGGGUGCUAAUACCGGAUAAUGUCUUCGGACCAAAGAUUUAUCGCCUUUGGAUGGGCCCGCGUUGGAUUAGCUAGUUGGUAGGGUAAAAGCCUACCAAGGCGACGAUCCAUAGCUGGUCGGAGAGGAUGAUCAGCCACACUGGGACUGAGACACGGCCCAGAAUCCGACGGAAGGCAGCAGUGGGGAAUAUUGGAGGAGGGGCGAAAGCGUGAUCCAGCAAUGCGGCGUGAGUGAUGAAGGCCUUAGGGUUGUAAAGCUCUUUUACCCGGGAUGAUAAUGACAGUACCGGGAGAAUAAGCGCCGGCUAACUCCGUG